Molecule: long non-coding RNA, 1721 nt
Organism: Ictalurus punctatus (channel catfish)
Lineage: Eukaryota; Metazoa; Chordata; Actinopteri; Siluriformes; Ictaluridae
Source: Ensembl
CUCUCUUAUACAUUUCGUCUCUCCGGUCCAUUGUUGUGUGUCUCUCUUAUACAUUUUGUCUCUCUGGUCCAUUGUUGUGUGUCUCUCUUAUACAUUUUGUCUCUCUGGUCCAUUGUUGUGUCUCUCUCUUAUACAUUUUGUCUCUCCGGUCCAUUGUUGUGUGUCUCUCUCUUAUACAUUUUGUCUCUCCGGUCCAUUGUUGUGUCUCUCUCUUAUACAUUUCGUCUCUCCGGUCAAUUGUUGUGUCUCUCUCUUAUACAUUUCGUCUCUCCGGUCCAUCGUUGUCUCUCUUAUACAUUUUGUCUCUCCAGUCCAUUGUUGUGUCUCUCUCUUAUACAUUUCGUCUCUCCGGUCCAUUGUUGUGUCUCUCUUAUACAUUUCGUCUCUCCGGUCCAUUGUUGUGUCUCUCUCUUAUACAUUUCGUCUCUCCGGUCCAUUGUUGUGUCUCUCUUAUACAUUUCGUCUCUCCGGUCCAUUGUUGUCUCUCUCUUAUACAUUUCGUCUCUCCGGUCCAUUGUUGUGUCUCUCUCUUAUACAUUUUGUCUCUCUGGUCCAUUGUUGUGUGUCUCUCUCUUAUACAUUUCGUCUCUCCGGUCCAUUGUUGUGUCUCUCUUAUACAUUUCGUCUCUCCGGUCCAUUGUUGUGUCUCUCUCUUAUACAUUUGGUCUCUCCGGUCCAUUGUUGUGUCUCUCUCUUAUACAUUUCGUCUCUCCGGUCCAUUGUUGUGUCUCUCUCUUAUACAUUUCGUCUCUCCGGUCCAUUGUUGUGUCUCUCUUAUACAUUUUGUCUCUCCGGUCCAUUGUUGUGUGUGUCUCUCUUAAACAUUUUGUUUCUCAGGUCCAUUGUUGUGUGUCUCUCUCUGAUACAUUUAGUCUCUCCGGCUCCAUUGUUGUGUCUCUCUCUUAUACAUUUGGUCUCUCCGGUCCAUUGUUGUGUCUCUCUCUUAUACAUUUCGUCUCUCCGGUCCAUUGUUGUGUCUCUCUCUGAGACAUUUCGUCUCUCCGGUCCAUUGUUGUGUCUCUCUCUUAUACCAUUUUGUCUCUCCGGUCCAUUGUUGUGUCUCUCUCUUAUACAUUUUGUCUCUCUGGUCCAUUGUUGUGUGUGUCUCUCUUAUACAUUUUGUCUCUCCGGUACAUUGUUGUGUGUCUCUCUCUUAAACAUUUUGUCCCUCCGGUCCAUUGUUGUCUCUCUUUUUUUUGGCUCUUCAGUCUAUUGUUGUGUCUCUCCUUCUAUCUAUAGUUCUGUGUCUCCUUGCAUCUGUAUCUCCUUCUGUGUAUCACUUUGUCUCUCCUUCUGUCUCAUUCGUCGUCCUUCUAUCAUUCUCUCUCUUUCUGUCUAUCGUUUAUGCCUCCUUCUGUCGUUGUCUCUCUAUCUAUAGUUCUGCUUCUCUUUACGUCUUUGUCUCUCUUCUAUCAACGGUUGUGUCUCUUCUUCUGUCCAUCUUCGCGUAUCUCCCACCGGACAUCAUCGUCUCUCCUGUAUAACGUUGUGUCUCUAUUUAUAAUUUUAUCUCCUGUCUUUCUGCCUCUCCUGUCUGUUGUGUCUCUCCUGCUUUCAUUCUCUCUCUCUCUCUCUCUCUCUCUUCUCUCUGUCCUUUUUUGUCUCUCCUUCUAUCUAUCAUUCUGUCUCCCUCUGCGCUCACUGGGAACAUUAAAUGUCCUUGACAUCCCUUUCCCACAGUCUCUCUCUCUCUCCCCCCUUUCUCUCUCUCUCUCUCUCGC